AUGCGGGCGAUCGUACGGGACCGUAAUCACCUUCUGCUGCCAAAUAGUCUCAAAGAUUGGGCCGCACGCUUGCUGGCAAUCCAGGACGCGAACCUCAGACAAGAAUUCUUUCGCAUCCAGUCGGAGUUUGCGGAAAUCAUCCAUCAAGAUGUCCUUCGUACCUCGGGGCAGUUCUACCUCAGAUAUCAACCGUCCAACAGUGAUAUAUACACAACGCUACAAAUGCAGGCUGACAACGCCCGCGAUUUCAUGACCAUCACAAGAGACGGCGGCUUCAUCCACGCUCCGGUCCCUGAGUCGAGUCAAAAGUAG
Molecule: ribosomal RNA, 312 nt
Filed under: Triticum aestivum (bread wheat)
Lineage: Eukaryota; Viridiplantae; Streptophyta; Magnoliopsida; Poales; Poaceae
Description: partial small subunit ribosomal RNA
Source: RNAcentral